CUGCUACAACUGCCAAGUUCCCCGCGUCCCACCCUCCUCUAGGUGCUCCGAGGGACCACCGGGGUGCCUGAUGUGAGAGCGGGAGCGUAGAGACUCGGAGGCCGAGGUUGAGAACAAAAAGAUGCACCUGGACUUUCCCCGGAGCACUCUGCGUGGUUGAGCUUCGGUGGAAUUUCGGGGCUCUUGGCUGCCAGCCGCGCUUGCCUGGUAGCAACAGAAACCAGUCCCGCUCGCCUCCGUGCCACAAAAAAGCCACACCCAAGAUCACCUGAC
This 273-nucleotide long non-coding RNA is filed under the name Theropithecus gelada (gelada). RNAcentral describes it as "lncRNA (ENSTGEG00000010192.1)". The record is from RNAcentral. Lineage: Eukaryota; Metazoa; Chordata; Mammalia; Primates; Cercopithecidae.